RNAcentral lists this ribosomal RNA (460 nucleotides) under uncultured bacterium. RNAcentral describes it as "partial 16S ribosomal RNA". It matches the Rfam family "Bacterial small subunit ribosomal RNA", at positions 338 to 795 of the family's 1533-position model. The record is from RNAcentral.
CCUACGGGAGGCAUCAGUGAGGAAUAUUGGUCAAUGGCCGGAAGGCUGAACCAGCCAUGCCGCGUGAAGGUCAGUGCCCUAUGGGCGUUAAACUUCUUUUGUGCGUGAGCAAUAAUGGUCACGUGUGGCCAGACGAGAGUACCGUACGAAUAAGCAUCGGCUAACUCCGUGCCAGCAGCCGCGGUAAUACGGGGGAUGCAAGCGUUAUCCGGAUUUAUUUGGUUGAAAGGGUGCGUAGGCUGUGAGGUAAGUCAGCGGUGAAAUGCCCCCGCUCAACGGGGUGAAGUGCCAUUGAUACUGGCUUGCUGGAAUGCGAUAGCGGUGGGAGGAAUGUGUGGUGAAGCGGUGAAAUGCAUAGAUAUCACACAGAACACCGAUUGCGAAGGCAUCUCACGAAUCCGCGAUUGACGCUGAUGCACGAAAGCGUGGGUAUCAAACAGGAUUAGAUACCCUGGUAGUC